Molecule: ribosomal RNA, 429 nt
Filed under: Chloroflexota bacterium
Lineage: Bacteria; Bacillati; Chloroflexota
Description: Chloroflexi bacterium partial 16S ribosomal RNA
Rfam family: Bacterial small subunit ribosomal RNA
Source: RNAcentral
UGGGGAAUAUUGCACAAUGGGCGCAAGCCUGAUGCAGCCAUGCCGCGUGUGUGAAGAAGGCCUUCGGGUUGUAAAGCACUUUCAGCGGGGAGGAAGGCGGUGAGGUUAAUAACCUCAUCGAGUGACGUUACCCGCAGAAGAAUCACCGGCUAACUCCGUGCCAGCAGCCGCGGUAAUACGGAGGGUGCAAGCGUUAAUCGGAAUUACUGGGCGUAAAGCGCACGCAGGCGGUCUGUCAAGUCGGAUGUGAAAUCCCCGGGCUCAACCUGGGAACUGCAUUCGAAACUGGCAGGCUAGAGUCUUGUAGAGGGGGGUAGAAUUCCAGGUGUAGCGGUGAAAUGCGUAGAGAUCUGGAGGAAUACCGGUGGCGAAGGCGGCCCCCUGGACAAAGACUGACGCUCAGGUGCGAAAGCGUGGGGAGCAAACAGG